GAUGAAGAACGUAGCGAAAUGGGAUAAGUAAUGUGAAUUGCAGAAUUCCGUGAAUCAUCGAAUCUUUGAACGCACAUUGCGCCCCCUGGCAUUCCGGGGGGCAUGCCUGUCCGAGCGUCAUUUCUGCCCUCCAGCCCGGCUGGGUGUUGGGCGCUGUCCCCCCGGGGACACGCCCCAAAGGCAGUGGCGGCGCCGCGUCGGGUCCUCGAGCGUAUGGGGCUUUGUCACCCGCUCGGGACGGACUCGUCGGCGCUGGUCUUCCUCCAGGCGACCCUUCGGGGCUCGUCUUCCUUCGGUUGACCUCGGAUCAGGCAGGGUUACCCGCUGAACUUAAGCAUAUCAAUAAGCGGAGGA
RNAcentral lists this unclassified non-coding RNA (354 nucleotides) under soil metagenome. Its description in RNAcentral is "partial contains 5.8S ribosomal RNA, internal transcribed spacer 2, and large subunit ribosomal RNA". The stretch from base 1 to 120 matches the Rfam family "5.8S ribosomal RNA", at positions 35 to 154 of the family's 154-position model. The record is from RNAcentral.